CCUUCUAUGUCGGCUCUUCCUACCAUUGCGAAGCAGAGUUCGACAAGCGUUGGAUUGUUCACCCACUAAUAGGGAAUGUGAGCUGGGUUUAGACUUUCGUGAGACAGGUU
This 110-nucleotide non-coding RNA is filed under the name Tetranychus urticae (two-spotted spider mite). RNAcentral's name for it is "Eukaryotic large subunit ribosomal RNA". It matches the Rfam family "Eukaryotic large subunit ribosomal RNA", at positions 2875 to 2984 of the family's 3401-position model. Lineage: Eukaryota; Metazoa; Arthropoda; Arachnida; Trombidiformes; Tetranychidae. The record is from Rfam by way of RNAcentral.